ACUGUGAUAAGGGAACCCCGAGUGCCCGUAUAUGCGGGCUGUCCGGAUGUUUAAAACGCAUCCGAAGAAAGGGCCGGGCAAGACCGGUGCCAGCCGCCGCGGUAAUACCGGCGGCUCGAGUGGUGGCCACUUUUAUUGGGCUUAAAGCGUUCGUAGCUUGAAUUUUUUAAGUCUCUUGGGAAAUCUGCAGGCUUAACCUGCAGGCGUUUAAGAGAAACUGUUGUUCUAGGAACCGGAAGAGGUGAGAGGUACUCCGGGGGUAGGAGUGAAAUCCUGUAAUCCCCGGGGGACCACCGAUGGCGAAGGCAUCUCACCAGGACGGCUUCGACAGUGAGGAACGAAAGCUGGGGGAGCGAACCGGAUUAGAUACCCGGGUAGUCCCAGCCGUAAACGAUGUGCGUUAGGUGUGCCGGUGACCACGAGUCACUGGNGUGCCGAAGGGAAACCGUGAAACGUACCGCCUGGGAAGUACGGUCGCAAGGCUGAAACUUAAAGGAAUUGGCGGGGGAGCA
This 512-nucleotide ribosomal RNA is filed under the name uncultured Methanoplanus sp. RNAcentral describes it as "bacterial SSU rRNA". It matches the Rfam family "Archaeal small subunit ribosomal RNA", at positions 364 to 878 of the family's 1478-position model. Lineage: Archaea; Methanobacteriati; Methanobacteriota; Methanomicrobia; Methanomicrobiales; Methanomicrobiaceae. The record is from RNAcentral.